AUGGGGCUAUAACUGCAGCUAGCGAGAAGCGUAGCAAUACGCUUGUAAAGUGGCGAACGGGUGAGGAAUACAUGGGUAACCUACCCUCGAGAGGGGAAUAACUCGCCGAAAGGUGAGCUAAUACCGCGUACGAUCCUUGGUCGCAAGGCGAAGGAUGAAAGCUGCACCGUGGGUGUGGCGCUCGAGGAUGGGCUCAUGUCCUAUCAGCUUGUUGGUGAGGUAACGGCUCACCAAGGCUACGACGGGUAGCUGGUCUGAGAGGACGAUCAGCCACACUGGCACUGCGACACGGGCCAGACUCCUACGGGAGGCAGCAGUAAGGAAUAUUGCGCAAUGGACGACAGUCUGACGCAGCGACGCCGCGUGGGGGAUGAAGGUCUUCGGAUUGUAAACCCCUUUCGGGUGGAAAGAUGGCUCUCGACAACGAGAGCGGACGGUACCACCAGAAGCAGCCACGGCCAACUUCGUGCCAGCAGCCGCGGUAAUACGAAGGUGGCAAGCGUUGCUCGGAUUCACUGGGCAUACAGGGUGUGUAGGCGGUUCGGUAAAGCCCUCUGGGAAAGCUCCUGGCUCAACCGGGAAAGUUCAGGGGGGACUGCCGGGCUAGAGGACGGGAGAGGAGCGCGGAAUUCCCGGUGUAGCGGUGAAAUGCGUAGAUAUCGGGAGGAAGGCCGGUGGCGAAGGCGGCGCUCUGGAACGUACCUGACGCUGAGACACGAAAGCGUGGGGAGCAAACAGGAUUAGAUACCCUGGUAGUCCACGCCCUAAACGAUGGACACUACGUGUCGGGGAGCAAUCUCCGGUGCCGCAGCUAACGCAGUAAGUGUCCCGCCUGGGAAGUACGUCCGCAAGGUUGAAACUCAAAGGNUUGACGGGGCCCGCACAAGCGGUGGAGCAUGUGUUUAUUCGACGGCAACGCGAAGAACCUUACCCAGGCUGUACAAGCAGGGAGUAAGAACCUGAAAGGGGAUGAGUAGCAAUACGACCUGCUCGUGCGCAUGUCACGCCGUCUCUGG
This 1016-nucleotide ribosomal RNA is filed under the name uncultured Nitrospira sp. RNAcentral describes it as "bacterial SSU rRNA". It matches the Rfam family "Bacterial small subunit ribosomal RNA", at positions 42 to 1062 of the family's 1533-position model. Lineage: Bacteria; Pseudomonadati; Nitrospirota; Nitrospiria; Nitrospirales; Nitrospiraceae. The record is from RNAcentral.